AGCAUACCCGGAAGCUACAGAGAUGGAGAGAGAGAGGAACAGAACAAACAAACGCGCUAAUCCAUAACAUCAUAAUCUAUUGGAGGACCACUACUUCCUGUACCAGCUCCUCGAUAUCAUUGGUCAACUAGACCUGCUCCGCCACCUGGAGACGGCAGCCGGAGUGAAUGGAACACACUCAGACUGAUGCAAGCCCCGCCCUCUCACAGUACAGGUGAGCACAGAGCUGUGUGUGUAUGUGUGUAACUGCAUUGUCACAACAAUGGACCACAUAGAGAGGCAACACUGAAUAGAUGGUCAUUCUGGUAAUUCCCUGGUUGCUUUACAUCUUUCUUUCUUUUUUCUUUCACUCUCUCUCUCAAUUCAAUUCAAUUGCAAGAGAGAGAUGAUGCUGUAUAUGAUCUCAGAAGAUGUAACUCAAGAGAAUGUCACUAAGAUUAAGUUUCUGCUGAGCGACAAACUGCUCAGAGGACGACCGGAUCUUUUCACUGUAAGAAGUAUAUCACACACACUCCCACAAUCAUGCGCACACACACACACAAAUACAUUAUCUCUCUCUCUUUUUCUCUCUCCCCUGUCGGCCCUGGAGGUGCUGUGUGAGAUGGAGAGGCAGGGGCUUCUGACAGGACAGACUGGACGAGUUACAGAGGACACUGGAGGAGUGUGACACACAGCUGGCCCACACUGUCCGGCAGCAGAGGUAAUGUACAUAUUGACACUCCUCCACUGUCCUCUGUAGCUCGUCCAGUCUGUUCUGUCAGAAGCUGAUGUGUGUGAAUCUUGAGGUCAGCAGAUGACAGGAGACUCCAAACGAGCCCAAGCACAUCCUCACCAAGAAACUCUUCCUUCCCUACCUCUGAAACAUCUUCCAUACCCGGACUGAGAAACUUCAGAUAGGCUGUUAUGAUUUAACAGUGAAUUCUCGCCUGCUUAUUUAAUGAAGUUUGCCGUCCAUCUUGCUCACUUCAGCAUUGACCAGGGUGAUGAUCGCAUGGAUGUCUUUCCCUCUGUAGAAAACAGGAGACAAACACACACAACAUAAAAUAAGUCAACACAACCAUUCCAUAGAGACGAUAUGAAUAAGAUCUGCAGUGAAUUUCAAGCUGAUGUUACCCGGUGCAGCCUUUUCCCAGCUGGCCACACAGAGACUGGAUGAACCAGGACCCCGUGUACACGUUCCUGAUAGAGACAUACUGCUCUACGUUGGCCAUGAAAACCAGGUAGUCGGAGUAUAGUGGAAGUGUGUAGUCUUGGACUUGGCCGUUGUCUGUGUCCAGUUCCCUGUCCGUCCCUUCAACUUUAGGCUUCUUGUUCACCGGCACACCCCCCUGCACGUCUUUCCCUCGACAGGCUUGGAUGAAGAACAGUUUGGGCUUUUCAACAAGGAUGCUACAGUUUGUGCCGUUGAAAGGUGAGAGGAUAUCAAUGGUGGGGACGACUGUUCCAUCUGUGCCACAGACGCCCUCCUUUUCUCCGUGACUCAGAAUGCAGCAGACGAAGGCAUCGCCAUGCUUAGGAAGAUCCUUUAGAUCAGUGAACUGACCGCUGACCCACUCCUUCACACCGCACUGUUGCAGGUCAGAUAACUGCUUCAGCUCAGAGAAGACCUUCAGCACAAUGGGAAUCUCCACUGCAGUCUUGUCCUUGCACAUCACCACCCUGAACUUCAUCCGACUGAAUAUGUUGGCCAGAUCCUCUGUAGGAGAAGACAGACACUUAACAACCAGGCCUCUCACUUCUCUCUAUUCUCAUUCUAUCACAUCACAUCAUGAUAAUCAACUGAAUCAGCAAAAUGGCAAGCAGGUCAGAUGCUGUAAUAGAGAAAUGAGACUUGAGAUGUUUUUGAGGAUAAAACAUUGACAUACCAACAUCCUUGUUUGAUCCUGUUCUUUCACGCAGUUUAUCAAAUAUCUCGUUGUUGAUGAUCAAACAGAGACCACGGGGUACACUGGUCAUCUCAUACAGACUGACCUGGAAACAGAGGAAACCAGGGGUCAUUUACACACAAAGAUAUUUCACAUCAAACUGACAGUGUAAAAAAAAAUAUAUUUUCUCCUAGUAUUAUGUUUGGCUUGAAUGGCUUCAUUGGAAAGGAAAGUUGAAGGAGAGUUGUGCUGCAAUGAGAAGACAGGUUAAGUUUUGUGUCUGUAUUAUUGUAUAUUGUUGACUUGUGUA
Molecule: long non-coding RNA, 2175 nt
Organism: Salvelinus namaycush (lake trout)
Lineage: Eukaryota; Metazoa; Chordata; Actinopteri; Salmoniformes; Salmonidae
Exons: 3
Source: RefSeq, a predicted model, not a curated record